GGAAUAGAUUUGUUGAGUGAUUUUAACUUUCGAUCACUUUUGAAGGAGGUAAAUCUAGUCUUUUCCUUUAAUGCUGUGUGAGAAUUUAGAACAAUGAGAGUCAUAUCUGACUGAGAAAUAUGAGCCAGUUAAAUGUUACUGUUACCUGCAUUUUCAAAUUAAACCCUUUGGAAGAGCUGUGGUUUUUUUCACAACGGGAAGUUGGUCGUAAGGCCUUUAUAUAAGGAGGAUAUUACUAUAUAAUAAAGGUAGAUUUUAUCCGAAAGGAUGUUAAUCAUAAACUAGUGAAUCUUAAUUAUAUAUCUACGUGUUUUUAUGAAAACACAGAAAGUUUAACGUGCUCUUUUUAUCAUAGAGCUAUAUGAGGUUAAUUUGUAAUGUUGUUCUACUGUUUUUGAGUCGCAUUUGUAAUGUUCUGUUAGUUUGUGAUGUUGUUGUGUUGGUUUGUGUGUCUCAGUGCCUCUGAAGAGCAUCUCAGUGGAGCUUCUGGUUCAGGAUCAUGUAGCCACAGUCUCCUCCACUCUGAAGUAUGUAAAUGAGGAAGAGCGCCCCCUGGAGGCCUUGUUCGUCUUCCCUCUGCCUGCUGAUGCUGCUGUCUGCCACUUCAGUGCCAAGAUCGGAGAGCAGGAGAUUGUGGCAGAGGUGCAGGACAGAGAAACCCCACUCAACCGGCUCAACCACCAGUGUCUGAACGAACUAAAUCUAAAUCACUAAUAGGUAAGUGCACCUCAAUUUGAUAUUAGUUUUGUGAAAGGGUUAAGUAUGCAAUGUUUUAACUUAUUUUUUCAACACAAACCUUGUUUUCAAUGAAUUUCACAAACAAGCAUCAGCAAACCACAUUAAUAAACAGAGACCACUAAAUGGUUCCCUGUCACUUAAGUUAACAAAAUGUGAAUUAGUUUUUUAGGGAAACUGCGUCAAGCACUUUCUCUUAAUCAGGGUAAAAUAAAUCAUAGUGAUUAGUUGUAUUUUUUUGUGUAUGUUGGUUUUCCUUUUGUGGUGGUGAAAUCCCU
RNAcentral lists this long non-coding RNA (1013 nucleotides) under Carassius auratus (goldfish). RNAcentral's name for it is "lncRNA (ENSCARG00000046607.1)". The record is from RNAcentral. Lineage: Eukaryota; Metazoa; Chordata; Actinopteri; Cypriniformes; Cyprinidae.